This 468-nucleotide ribosomal RNA is filed under the name uncultured bacterium. RNAcentral describes it as "partial 16S ribosomal RNA". It matches the Rfam family "Bacterial small subunit ribosomal RNA", at positions 28 to 507 of the family's 1533-position model. The record is from RNAcentral.
GACGAACGCUGGCGGCGUGCUUAACACAUGCAAGUCGAACGGAAAGGCCCUGCUUUUGUGGGGUGCUCGAGUGGCGAACGGGUGAGUAACACGUGAGUAACCUGCCCUUGACUUUGGGAUAACUUCAGGAAACUGGGGCUAAUACCGGAUAGGAGCUCCUGCUGCAUGGUGGGGGUUGGAAAUUUUCGGCGGUUGGGGAUGGAUUCGCGGCUAAUCGGCUUGUUGGUGGGGUAGUGGCUUACCAAGGCUUUGACGGGUAGCCGGCCUGAGAGGGUGACCGGCCACAUUGGGACUGAGAUACGGCCCAGACUCCUACGGGAGGCAGCAGUGGGGAAUAUUGCACAAUGGGCGGAAGCCUGAUGCAGCAACGCCGCGUGCGGGAUGACGGCCUUCGGGGUGUAAACCGCUUUCGCCUGUGACGAAGCGUGAGUGACGGUAAUGGGUAAAGAAGCACCGGCUAACUACGUG